UACAUAUAAAAAUUUAAUAAAAUUUACAUGCUUUUCUCCUGUUAGUCUGUCUUUGUUAGUUUAAUUUUUAGAUCCAGCCAGGGAUUCUAAGAGAGUCAGAAAAACUUUUUCCUCCCUUAUAGGUAGAAAACUGUAAAUUUGGGUCAGCCAUUUAGGGUUAAGUAAAACCAUAUCAGAUAGGGCAUAAGAUAGGACAAGUUCUAUCAGCCCUGGGUACACAUCAGCUCAUAUAAAAUUAGAAAAUUGUAUUUUAUAUGCCAGAGAGUUUUUUUGUGUGUAUUUAUAUAUUUUAUGUUCUCUUCCUUCCUUCCAUUCAUUCUUUUUUAUUUGUUUUUUGUUGUUGUUGUUUAUUUAAAUUGCUAUUUAGAUUAAAAAACCUUUUGUGAAAGUUCCAAUCUGUUUUAGCCAUGUUAAGGGGGAAAUAAAAAAUGAGUUUGUGUCCAUACUUUAGCUAAAAUUAAGGGGCACAGAGUUCAACCAAGGGUCAGGAUAGGGUGGCAGAAACAACCAAAAUAUGAGAGCCUGGAGCAGAAGGUGGAUCGGCUAGCUGUUGGGGCCAUUUGAAGAUCUUACAAAAUAAAAGCCUAAGCAUGUGGCGUUUCCUUUUACCAGUGGACUGGGCUGUACCUUUCCUGGCAAAUCCAGCCCUCUAAAGUGAAAGUAUCAUCACAGUUUCGGGAAAGAUUCAUUGCUGACCUUGAGCUACUUUCAUUCCAGAAUACUACAUCACUGAACAGCUGGGCUGUUGGCAGGUUGAAGCAUCAAAGUGGCGAGGCAAACUGAGUGACACGUGAAGGAUGUUACUGGCUAGCUCUUCCCAGAUGAUGCUGCCUAAUUUUACUGCUGUCACUCUUGUGAAGAUUUAUAGCCAAAAACACAAAAACAGUUUACUAGUUGGACUCUAGAGUGUCAAAUGUUGAGGGAAUCAAUUUAGUCUGAUGGGACUGAUGGGAGAAGAGAAGAAUAAUUUUUCAUUAAUUAAGCAAACGUUUAAUGAGCGCUUAAUAUAAGCUUUACUAGGUGUUACUAGGAAAUAAAGAAAGAGUUAAAACAA
Pteropus alecto (black flying fox) is the source of this 1054-nucleotide long non-coding RNA. RefSeq lists it as uncharacterized. The transcript has 2 exons. NCBI's taxonomy places the organism in Eukaryota, Metazoa, Chordata, Mammalia, Chiroptera, Pteropodidae. The record is from RefSeq and is a predicted model, not a curated record.